RNAcentral lists this long non-coding RNA (348 nucleotides) under Carica papaya (papaya). Its description in RNAcentral is "long non-coding RNA (CPAP_LNC013394)". Lineage: Eukaryota; Viridiplantae; Streptophyta; Magnoliopsida; Brassicales; Caricaceae. The record is from RNAcentral.
AGAUCUUCCCACGUGCUGCCCCCAAAGCCUGAGGAGGGGCCUGAACGGCAGGCCUGGGCCUCUUACUGGGUUGGACAGGCAUGGUAGGCGCUGGCCUGCGGAGCGGGGCUGAGGGUCGGGAACUUCCCGCUAGCUGAGGGUGGGUGUCGAAGCUCCUUUCUAUGAUCUGCGCCUUUGCCAGGACUGCCGAAUAUGUCUCGAGCUCCAUCACCAAUAAGUGCUGUCUGAUCGCCGGGCGGAGGCCCCACUGGAAUUUUCUGGCCUUUCGGCCCUCAUCCAACAAUGUCUCCGGGGCAUGUCGGCCCAGCUCCAGGAACUUGUGGGCAUACUCCGACACUGUCAUAUUAC